Molecule: non-coding RNA, 142 nt
Organism: Cucurbita pepo subsp. pepo (vegetable marrow)
Lineage: Eukaryota; Viridiplantae; Streptophyta; Magnoliopsida; Cucurbitales; Cucurbitaceae
Source: RefSeq, a predicted model, not a curated record
GAAAUUCGUAUCAAACCUGAUGCCGACAGUGGUACUAUCACUAUAACAGAUACUGGUAUUGGAAUGACUAAAGAAGAGCUCAUUGACUGUCUCGGAACUAUCGCUCAGAGUGGCACUUCAAGAUUCUUGAAGGCCCUUAAGG